AUUGAACGCUGGCGGCAGGCCUAACACAUGCAAGUCGAGCGGAUGAAGGGAGCUUGCUCCUGGAUUCAGCGGCGGACGGGUGAGUAAUGCCUAGGAAUCUGCCUGGUAGUGGGGGAUAACGUCCGGAAACGGGCGCUAAUACCGCAUACGUCCUGAGGGAGAAAGUGGGGGAUCUUCGGACCUCACGCUAUCAGAUGAGCCUAGGUCGGAUUAGCUAGUUGUUGGGGUAAAGGCCUACCAAGGCGACGAUCCGUAACUGGUCUGAGAGGAUGAUCAGUCACACUGGAACUGAGACACGGUCCAGACUCCUACGGGAGGCAGCAGUGGGGAAUAUUGGACAAUGGGCGAAAGCCUGAUCCAGCCAUGCCGCGUGUGUGAAGAAGGUCUUCGGAUUGUAAAGCACUUUAAGUUGGGAGGAAGGGCAGUAAGUUAAUACCUUGCUGUUUUGACGUUACCAACAGAAUAAGCACCGGCUAACUUCGUG
This 484-nucleotide ribosomal RNA is filed under the name uncultured bacterium. RNAcentral describes it as "partial 16S ribosomal RNA". It matches the Rfam family "Bacterial small subunit ribosomal RNA", at positions 30 to 507 of the family's 1533-position model. The record is from RNAcentral.